UCAUGUGGAAUUAUAUUCUGUAAUGUCAGA
RNAcentral lists this non-coding RNA (30 nucleotides) under Homo sapiens (human). Lineage: Eukaryota; Metazoa; Chordata; Mammalia; Primates; Hominidae. The record is from RNAcentral.